UACGUAGGGUGCGAGCGUUAAUCGGAAUUAUUGGGCGUAAAGGGCGCGUAGGCGGUGCGGUAAGUCACCUGUGAAAUCUCCUGGCUCAACUGGGAGCUUGCAGGCGAAACUGCCGUGCUGGAGUGUGGGAGAGGUGCGUGGAAUUCCUGGUGUAGCGGUGAAAUGCGUAGAUAUCAGGAGGAACACCGGUGGCGAAGGCGGGUCUCUGGGCAACAACUGACGCUGAGGAGCGAAAGCGUGGGGAGCGAACAGG
RNAcentral lists this ribosomal RNA (253 nucleotides) under uncultured bacterium. RNAcentral's name for it is "partial 16S ribosomal RNA". It matches the Rfam family "Bacterial small subunit ribosomal RNA", at positions 524 to 776 of the family's 1533-position model. The record is from RNAcentral.